GACUCUCGACAACGGAUAUCUCGGCUCUCGCAUCGAUGAAGAACGUAGUGAAAUGCGAUACUUGGUGUGAAUUACAGAAUCCCGUGAACCAUCGAGUCUUUGAACGCAAGUUGCGCUCGAAGCCUUCCGGCCGAGGGCACGUCUGCCUGGGCGUC
This 155-nucleotide ribosomal RNA is filed under the name Cornus hongkongensis. RNAcentral describes it as "partial 5.8S ribosomal RNA". It matches the Rfam family "5.8S ribosomal RNA". From Rfam's summary of the family: 5.8S ribosomal RNA (5.8S rRNA) is a component of the large subunit of the eukaryotic ribosome. The record is from RNAcentral. Lineage: Eukaryota; Viridiplantae; Streptophyta; Magnoliopsida; Cornales; Cornaceae.